This 75-nucleotide transfer RNA is filed under the name Pseudomonadota bacterium. RNAcentral's name for it is "tRNA-Asn". It matches the Rfam family "tRNA". Rfam says of the family: Transfer RNA (tRNA) molecules are approximately 80 nucleotides in length. Their secondary structure includes four short double-helical elements and three loops (D, anti-codon, and T loops). The record is from RNAcentral. RNAcentral also lists the same sequence under 1 other name. Lineage: Bacteria; Pseudomonadati; Pseudomonadota.
UCCGGGGUAGCUCAGCGGUAGAGCAGUUGGCUGUUAACCAAUUGGUCGUGGGUUCGAUCCCCACCCCCGGAGCCA